Molecule: long non-coding RNA, 1367 nt
Organism: Nycticebus coucang (slow loris)
Lineage: Eukaryota; Metazoa; Chordata; Mammalia; Primates; Lorisidae
Exons: 6
Source: RefSeq, a predicted model, not a curated record
UGCUUUGGGGCCAGUGUGAAGUAAGAUGAGAAUGACUGGUUUCAAGAGAUCCUCCAGCCUCAGCCUCCUGAGUAGCUGCUACAUAGGCCUAAUUUUCUGUUUUUCAUGGAGAUGGGAGCUGUGUUGCUCAGGCUAGUCUUUAUCCCUGGCCUCCAGUGGUCUUCCUACCUCGACCUCCAAGAAUUACAGAGUUCCAGGGAAGAGAACUGUGUGUUCCCAGUCUCUGAAAGAGCCAUCACCAUAACUACUUCUGAGAUGGGUCAGGGACCAAAGACAUCUUAGAGACAGCAGCUAUACAGUGACAAAGUGUCUCCGGAUGUGCAUUUGACCCAAGAGCCACAAAGCUGACAGAUACUCAGAGAGUUUGUUGACUGAGUUCAAAUGGUGGUUCUCUCUUGAGAUUCCUCAUGGCAGUGGUCACAUGUCAUCUGGAGACUUCACUGACCUGGACGUCUACAAUGGCUCACUUGCAUGGAUGUUAGUUGAUGCUAACUGCUGGCUGCCAGCUAAACUGAUGAAGUGGACCAGAAUCCUACAUAAAAUAUCUCUAUGUGAAAGUUUAAUACAAUGGUGGUUUCCUACAGGACCUCCCUAAGACCUUUUAUACACAGGAAUUCUGAAUGAAGGAAGCAAGUAAAUAAAUUUUUCCCUAAUGUGGAAUAAUCUACAGGAAAUGGUUCUGUCCUGAGCCAAGGGAAGGCAGAGGAAAUGAUUUCUGCAUCAGCUAAGGAAUAAACUCUGAUUCACUGCCAACUGCCAGCAUUGCAGCGACACUACGUGGGCUAACGUUCACCUUGGAAGAAAUUGUCCCAUCAGUGGUGGAAAAUAAAGAUGCUAAGCAAUAGAUUUCUCAGUUUAAGAGCUAAAGUUUAAGAUAUGUGAAUACUUGAUGACCCAAGACCUCACUGGUACAUCUGAAGCUUCAGUGGAGCACAGAUGUAGCUUCUGGCUGGAGAACUCAGUAGUGCAAGAGGAGAGAUUCUUGACCCCAUUGGGAUGUGCUCACAUGGAGUGUACACAUGGACGUCUCCGCUUAUGGCUGAGCUUCCUUAGGUUAACCUGUUCAAGAUUUUAAAUAUAUCCCAAUAAUUUUUAAAAAGCAAACAUUUAUGUAAGUAGUAAGCAAUAUUUUAUUGAUUGAUAAUACAGAUAAUACUUGCAAGCAAUAACUGUUGUCUAAAGUGCUCCUUUGAAAGCUUCUGCCAUUCCUCAGUCUCUUUUCUUACCGAUGGUUUCAUCUCACAGGUUCUUCCCCUGUUCUCUCCAAAACGUCUGUCACUGACACUGCUGUGCUCUUACAUUUCUUCAGCUACUCCCCUUUGACUAGCGAGGUUUCACAAAAUAAAAAGACUGUUCUUUUUAUCACA